UUGUCCGACUCUGUUGCCUCCGGGGCGACCCUGCCUUCGGGCGGGGGCUCCGGGUGGACACUUCAAACUCUUGCGUAACUUUGCAGUCUGAGUAAACUUAAUUAAUAAAUUAAAACUUUUAACAACGGAUCUCUUGGUUCUGGCAUCGAUGAAGAACGCAGCGAAAUGCGAUAAGUAAUGUGAAUUGCAGAAUUCAGUGAAUCAUCGAAUCUUUGAACGCACAUUGCGCCCCCUGGUAUUCCGGGGGGCAUGCCUGUUCGAGCGUCAUUUCACCACUCAAGCCUCGCUUGGUAUUGGGCAACGCGGUCCGCCGCGUGCCUCAAAUCGUCCGGCUGGGUCUUCUGUCCCCUAAGCGUUGUGGAAACUAUUCGCUAAAGGGUGUUCGGGAGGCUACGCCGUAAAACAACCCCAUUUCUAAGGUUGACCUCGGAUCAGGUAGGGAUACCCGCUGAACUUAAGC
This 460-nucleotide ribosomal RNA is filed under the name Cladosporium tenellum. RNAcentral's name for it is "eukaryotic LSU rRNA". The stretch from base 114 to 267 matches the Rfam family "5.8S ribosomal RNA". The record is from RNAcentral. Lineage: Eukaryota; Fungi; Ascomycota; Dothideomycetes; Cladosporiales; Cladosporiaceae.